GUUGUCCUGCCUCUAGGCAUAUUUCUAUUGGUUGCCGGUGCCAUUAUCAUCUUUUGCUGUUACAAGUACAAGGCCUGGCGCCGGCGUGAACAUAAACAGGCAACUGAUCUAGCGAUGGUUCGAGUGGAGAAGCCAGUUGUUCAAAAACCUGUA
Molecule: long non-coding RNA, 153 nt
Organism: Bufo bufo (common toad)
Lineage: Eukaryota; Metazoa; Chordata; Amphibia; Anura; Bufonidae
Exons: 3
Source: RefSeq, a predicted model, not a curated record